AGAGAGAGACAUGCGCGCAUAUCAAUAAGCGGAGGAAAAGAAACUAACAAGGAUUCCCUUAGUAACAGCGAGUGAAGCGGGAAGAGCUCAAAUUUGAAAUCUUCAAGGUUUUACCUUGACGAAUUGUAGUUUAAAGAAGUGUUUUCUGUUGGAGUUUCGGUAAAAGUUCUUUGGAAUAGGACAUCAUAGAGGGUGAGAAUCCCGUAUUUGACCAUUACUUUCCAGCUGUGUGAUACACUUUCAAAGAGUCGGAUUGUUUGGGAAUGCAGUCCCAAAAUGGGUGGUAAAUUUCAUCUAAAGCUAAAUAUUGGCGAGAGACCGAUAGCGAACAAGUACCGUGAGGGAAAGAUGAAAAGAACUUUGAAAAGAGAGUUAAACAGUACGUGAAAUUGUCAAAAGGGAAGCGUUUGACACCAGUGUUGUUUAGUUGAAAAUCAAUUCAAUAGUUUUUGAUUCUAAGUAGUAUUGACUUCAUCAGCUUGCUGCUUUCUUCUCAGAAAUUAUUGAAUGCACUUUUCAGUUAACAAGUCAACAUCAAUUUCUUUUGUUGUAAAAGGGUAUGAGGAAGGUGGCUUUCUUUUCGGAGAAAGUGUUUAUAGCCUUGUGCCUCUGCAAUCGGAGAGAUUGAGGUCUGCAGCGUAGAUCCUUCGGGGUUAGAUACAUUUGUGCUAAGCUAUAGCCUUGUAUAGACAACUUGUUGACUAUGCUCAGUCAUGUAGCUUACUCGCUGAUGCUAUUUUACCUACGCUUAGGAUGUUGAUAGUCACAGCGUGUAC
Molecule: ribosomal RNA, 776 nt
Filed under: uncultured Neocallimastigales
Lineage: Eukaryota; Fungi; Neocallimastigomycota; Neocallimastigomycetes; Neocallimastigales
Description: partial large subunit ribosomal RNA
Rfam family: Eukaryotic large subunit ribosomal RNA
Source: RNAcentral